This 29-nucleotide non-coding RNA is filed under the name Rattus norvegicus (Norway rat). The record is from RNAcentral. Lineage: Eukaryota; Metazoa; Chordata; Mammalia; Rodentia; Muridae.
UGCUGUCGUGACCAAUGUCGAGAAUGUGA